ACCGGGUGCGGUGGCACAUGCCUGUGGUCCCAGCUACUCUGGAGGCUGAGGUGGGAGGAUCGCUUGAGCCCAGGAGUUCUGGGCUGUAGUGCGCUAUGCCGACUGGGUGUCUGCACUAAGUUCGGCAUCAAUACGGUGACCUCCCAGGAGCGGGGGGACCACCAGGUUGCCUAAGGAGGGGUGAACCAGCCCAGGUUGGAAAUGGAGCAGGUCAAAACUCCUGUGCUGAUGUGGGAUGGCGCCUGUGAGUAGCCACUGCAUUCCAGCUUGGGCAAUGUAGCGAGACCCUGUCUCUU
Callithrix jacchus (white-tufted-ear marmoset) is the source of this 296-nucleotide unclassified non-coding RNA. It matches the Rfam family "Metazoan signal recognition particle RNA". From Rfam's summary of the family: The signal recognition particle (SRP) is a universally conserved ribonucleoprotein. NCBI's taxonomy places the organism in Eukaryota, Metazoa, Chordata, Mammalia, Primates, Cebidae. The record is from Ensembl.